Molecule: long non-coding RNA, 344 nt
Filed under: Homo sapiens (human)
Lineage: Eukaryota; Metazoa; Chordata; Mammalia; Primates; Hominidae
Description: non-protein coding lnc-FAM129B-4:1
Source: RNAcentral
AAAAGUUGGUGAUGACAUUGCCAAGGCAACGGGUGACUGGAAGGGCCUGAGGAUUACAGUGAAACUGACCAUUCAGAACAGACAGGCCCAGAUUGAGGUGGUGCCUUCUGCCUCUGCCCUGAUCAUCAAAGCCCUCAAGGAACCACCAAGAGACAGAAAGAAACAGAAAAACAGUAAGUUGUCUUUUCCCUAGUUUGGUUUUGGUAAUGGUUUGUGAGAUGUUUGAUAUAUGUGGCUGUGUUUUCCCUUAAAGGAAACCUGGGGUUGACAUGGGUAUUGGGUGUUGAUAUGGUUAGGGCUGCUAGAGCCAGGUAGUAUGAAAAAGUGCCACGUAUGCUGGGUGG